Molecule: small nuclear RNA, 102 nt
Organism: Cornus florida
Lineage: Eukaryota; Viridiplantae; Streptophyta; Magnoliopsida; Cornales; Cornaceae
Source: RefSeq, a predicted model, not a curated record
GACCCUUUGGGGACAUCCAUUAAAAUUGGACCUAUACAGAGAAGAUUAGCAUGAUCCCUCUACAAGGAUAACAGCAAAAAUCAAGAAAUGGUAUAUUUUUUU